Molecule: ribosomal RNA, 1305 nt
Filed under: bacterium BH203
Lineage: Bacteria
Description: bacterial SSU rRNA
Rfam family: Bacterial small subunit ribosomal RNA
Source: RNAcentral
CAUGCAAGUCGAACGGCAGCACGGGAGCAAUCCUGGUGGCGAGUGGCGAACGGGUGAGUAAUGUAUCGGAACGUACCUUUCAGUGGGGGAUAACGUAGCGAAAGUUACGCUAAUACCGCAUAUUCUGUGAGCAGGAAAGCAGGGGAUCUUAGGACCUUGCGCUGAUUGAGCGGCCGAUAUCAGAUUAGCUAGUUGGUGAGGUAAAGGCUCACCAAGGCGACGAUCUGUAGCGGGUCUGAGAGGAUGAUCCGCCACACUGGAACUGAGACACGGUCCAGACUCCUACGGGAGGCAGCAGUGGGGAAUUUUGGACAAUGGGCGCAAGCCUGAUCCAGCCAUGCCGCGUGAGUGAAGAAGGCCUUCGGGUUGUAAAGCUCUUUCAGCCGGGAAGAAAACGCAUGGGUUAAUACCCUGUGUGGAUGACGGUACCGGAAUAAGAAGCACCGGCUAACUACGUGCCAGCAGCCGCGGUAAUACGUAGGGUGCGAGCGUUAAUCGGAAUUACUGGGCGUAAAGCGUGCGCAGGCGGUUUGUUAAGAUAGGCGUGAAAUCCCCGGGCUCAACCUGGGAACUGCGUUUAUGACUGGCAGGCUAGAGUAUGGCAGAGGGGGGUGGAAUUCCACGUGUAGCAGUGAAAUGCGUAGAGAUGUGGAGGAACACCGAUGGCGAAGGCAGCCCCCUGGGCCAAUACUGACGCUCAUGCACGAAAGCGUGGGUAGCAAACAGGAUUAGAUACCCUGGUAGUCCACGCCCUAAACGAUGUCAACUAGGUGUUGGGUGGGUAAAACCAUUUAGUACCGGAGCUAACGCGUGAAGUUGACCGCCUGGGGAGUACGGCCGCAAGGUUAAAACUCAAAGGAAUUGACGGGGACCCGCACAAGCGGUGGAUGAUGUGGAUUAAUUCGAUGCAACGCGAAAAACCUUACCUACCCUUGACAUGUCCGGAAGCCCUUAGAGAUUUGGGUGUGCUCGAAAGAGAGCCGGAACACAGGUGCUGCAUGGCUGUCGUCAGCUCGUGUCGUGAGAUGUUGGGUUAAGUCCCGCAACGAGCGCAACCCUUGUCGUUAAUUGCCAUCAUUCAGUUGGGCACUUUAACGAGACUGCCGGUGACAAACCGGAGGAAGGUGGGGAUGACGUCAAGUCCUCAUGGCCCUUAUGGGUAGGGCUUCACACGUCAUACAAUGGUCGGUACAAAGGGUUGCCAACCCGCGAGGGGGAGCUAAUCCCAGAAAGCCGAUCGUAGUCCGGAUCGUAGGCUGCAACUCGCCUGCGUGAAGUCGGAAUCGCUAGUAAUCGUGGAUCAGC